This 279-nucleotide ribosomal RNA is filed under the name uncultured bacterium. RNAcentral's name for it is "partial 16S ribosomal RNA". It matches the Rfam family "Bacterial small subunit ribosomal RNA", at positions 506 to 784 of the family's 1533-position model. The record is from RNAcentral.
UGCCAGCAGCCGCGGUAAUACGGAGGGUGCAAGCGUUAAUCGGAAUUACUGGGCGUAAAGCGCGCGUAGGUGGUUUGGUAAGUCAGAUGUGAAAGCCCCGGGCUCAACCUGGGAAUUGCAUUUGAAACUGCCUCACUAGAGUAUGGUAGAGGGAAGUGGAAUUCCGGGUGUAGCGGUGAAAUGCGUAGAUAUCCGGAGGAACAUCAGUGGCGAAGGCGACUUCCUGGACCAAUACUGACACUGAGGUGCGAAAGCGUGGGUAGCAAACAGGAUUAGAUA